This 375-nucleotide ribosomal RNA is filed under the name uncultured bacterium. RNAcentral's name for it is "bacterial SSU rRNA". It matches the Rfam family "Bacterial small subunit ribosomal RNA", at positions 28 to 392 of the family's 1533-position model. The record is from RNAcentral.
GAUGAACGCUAGCUACAGGCUUAACACAUGCAAGUCGAGGGGCAGCACAAGGCAGCAAGUGCUGAGGUGGCGACCGGCGCACGGGUGCGUAACGCGUAUCCAACCUUCCCGUUACUCUUGGAUAGCCUUCCGAAAGGGAGAUUAAUACAAGAUGGUGUUGAAAUUCCGCAUGUAUUUCAACUAAAGAUUUAUCGGUAACGGAUGGGGAUGCGUGACAUUAGGUAGAUGGCGGGGUAACGGCCACCAUGCCUACGAUGUCUAGGGGUUCUGAGAGGAAAGGGUCCCCCCCAACACUGGAACCUGAGACAGGUCCAGACUCCUACGGGAGGCAGCAGUGAGGAAUACUUGGGUCAAUGGUCGGAAGACUGACCAGCC